CACUCCUAAAGCCCCAGCCCAUCCCCCUGAGGCCUGACCUCUGAGCCUCAGCACCAGCAGCACCAUGCCCAUGACGCUGGGUUACUGGGACAUCCGCGGGCUGGCCCACGGCAUCCGGUUGCUCCUGGAAUACACGGACACCAGCUAUGAGGAAAAGAGAUACACCAUGGGGGACGCUCCCGACUAUGACCAAAGCCAGUGGCUGAGUGAGAAAUUCAAGCUGGGCCUGGACUUUCCCAAUCUGCCCUACCUAAUUGAUGGGACUCACAAGCUCACGCAGAGCAACGCCAUCCUUCGCUACCUGGCCCGCAAGCACGGCCUGUGUGGGGAGACAGAAGAGGAGAGGAUUCGCGUGGACAUUCUGGAGAACCAGCUGAUGGACACCCGCAUGCUGCUGGCCACACUGUGCUACAGUCCCGACUUUGAGAAGCUGAAGCCUGGGUAUCUGCAGGAACUGCCUGAGAAGUUGCGGCUGCUUUCGCAGUUCCUGGGGAAGCGGCCCUGGUUUGCAGGGGACAAGAUCACCUUUGUGGAUUUCAUCGCUUAUGAUGCCAUUGAGAGGAACCGAGCAUUCGACCCCCGGUGUCUGGACGCAUUCCCCAACCUGAAGGACUUCAUCGCCCGCUUCGAGGGCCUGGAGAAGAUCUCUGCCUACAUGAAGUCCAGCCGCUUCCUGCCGAGACCUGUGUUCAUGAAGAACGCCACGUGGGGCAACAAGUAGGGCCCAGAGAGGCCAGGAGAAGCAAGUGUGGAGUCUGUGCUCAGCCCGCUGCCCCGCCCCCUGCCACCACCUUCUCCUCCCUUCCAAUCCCUUGUCAUCCCAAGGCCAUAUUGAUCCUCCUUCCUCCCACCCCACUGCUGUUCCAAAAAUUCCCUUAAGCACCUCCCCUCUCAUUCAUGCCAGUGCAUUCCCCCUCUUGCAGGCCCUGUGUCCUGCCCACCAGUGGCUGUGUCUGCCCAGAGGACCCAGACUGGAUCCCGGGCCUGGGAGCCUUAGUCCUGAGCUCCUGGAGCCCUGCCCUGAAGGACCAGCAUUGCCUACAGUGCAGGCCCCUCCCCCAGAUUUAUUUAUCUACUUGAAAGGCAAAGUUACAGAGAGAAAGAGAGAGAGGACUUCCAUCCUCUGGUUCACCCUCCAAAUGGCAGCAACAGUUGCAGCUGGGCCAGGAGCUUCUUCAGGGUUUCCCAAGUGGAUGCAGGAGCCCAAGUGCUUGGGACAUUUUCUGCUGCUUUCCCAGUUGCAUUAGCAGGGAGCUGUGUUGGAAGAGGAACUGUGGGGACUCGAACUGGUGCCUGAAAAGGGAGCUGGCAUCACAGGUGGCAGCUAUACCCGCUGCACCCAGCCCCGGGCCCUACUGAUACUGUCUUUUUGUUUUUUAAAUUUUCAAUUAUAUUUAUAUACAGAAGAUCAAUUUAGCAUAUAUUAAGUAAAGAUUUCAACACUCUGCACCCACACAGAAACACAAAGUGUAAAAUACUAU
RNA transcript from Lepus europaeus (European hare), 1481 nucleotides. It is a transcript of the gene named glutathione S-transferase Mu 7-like, with no coding region annotated. The record is from RefSeq and is a predicted model, not a curated record. The transcript is spliced from 9 exons. NCBI's taxonomy places the organism in Eukaryota, Metazoa, Chordata, Mammalia, Lagomorpha, Leporidae.